Molecule: long non-coding RNA, 181 nt
Organism: Argiope bruennichi
Lineage: Eukaryota; Metazoa; Arthropoda; Arachnida; Araneae; Araneidae
Exons: 3
Source: RefSeq, a predicted model, not a curated record
CUGAUGUUAUGCCUUGGAGGAAGAGUGUUCUCUUAAUAUUAUAAAAGUCCUUUUGUUUUGCUAAAUAUUUACAUGAUGAGUCUGAUGUUAUGCCUUGGAGGAAGAGUGUUCUCUUAAUAUUAUAAAAGUCCUUUUGUUUUGCUAAAUAUUUACAUGAUGAGUCUGAUGUUAUGCCUUGGAG